GGCCGCUUGGCCCAAUGGUAAGGCGUCUGACUACGACCGAGUGUGAUCACACACUUGACAAGUUAUCAGGAGAUUCUGGGUUCGAGCCCCAGGGUGGUCA
This 100-nucleotide transfer RNA is filed under the name Daldinia eschscholtzii. RNAcentral describes it as "tRNA-Arg". It matches the Rfam family "tRNA". From Rfam's summary of the family: Transfer RNA (tRNA) molecules are approximately 80 nucleotides in length. Their secondary structure includes four short double-helical elements and three loops (D, anti-codon, and T loops). The record is from RNAcentral. Lineage: Eukaryota; Fungi; Ascomycota; Sordariomycetes; Xylariales; Hypoxylaceae.